ACGACUGCUAAGGACUGGAUAGGAAGAAAUAAGGCAUCUUUUUUCUUUUAAAAGACCUAGUGAUAGGUAUACUUUAGGAGGGGCUUGCGCCAUAUUAGUUAGUUGGUGGGGUAAUGGCCUACCAAGACGAUGAUGUGUAGCUGGACUGAGAGGUUGAACAGCCACAUUGGGACUGAGACACGGCCCAAACUCCUACGGGAGGCAGCAGUAGGGAAUUUUCGGCAAUGGAGGAAACUCUGACCGAGCAACGCCGCGUGAACGACGAAGUACUUUGGUAUGUAAAGUUCUUUUAUCAAGGAAGAAAAGCAAGUGGUGAACCAUUUGUUUGCCGGUACUUGAUGAAUAAGCCCCGGCUAAUUAUGUGCCAGCAGCCGCGGUAAGACAUAAGGGGCAAGUGUUAUCCGGAAUUAUUGGGCGUAAAGGGUGCGUAGGCGGUCUAGUAAGUCAGUGGUGUAAUGGCAACGCUCAACGUUGUCCGGCUAUUGAAACUGCUAAACUUGAGUUAGAUAGAGGCGAGCGGAAUUCCAUGUGUAGCGGUAAAAUGCGUAAAUAUAUGGAGGAACACCAGAGGCGUAGGCGGCUCGCUGGGUCUUAACUGACGCUGAGGCACGAAAGCGUGGGGAGCAAACGGGAUUAGAUACCCUGGUAGUCCACGCCGUAAACGAUAAGUACUAAGUGUCGGGUUAAACCGGUACUGAAGUUAACACAUUAAGUACUCCGCCUGAGUAGUACGUACGCAAGUAUGAAACCCAAAGGAAUUGACGGGGGCCCGCACAAGCGGUGGAGCAUGUGGUUUAAUUCGAAGCAACGCGAAGAACCUUACCAGGUCUUGACAUCCUCUGACAAUCCUAGAGAUAGGACGUCCCCUUCGGGGGCAGAGUGACAGGUGGUGCAUGGUUGUCGUCAGCUCGUGUCGUGAGAUGUUGGGCUAAGUCCCGCAACGAGCGCAACCCUUGAUCUUAGCUGCCAGCAUUCAGUUGGGCACUCUAAGGUGACUGCCGGUGACAAACCGGAGGAAGGUGGGGAUGGCGUCAAAUCAUCAUGCCCCUUAUGACCUGGGCUACACACGUGCUACAAUGGCUGUUACAAAGGGUAGCUGAAACGCAAGUUCUUGGCCAAUCCCCAAAAACAGUCUCAGCCCGGAUUGAAGUCUGCAACUCGACUUCAUGAAGUUGGAAUCGCUAGUAAUCGCGAAUCAGCAUGCCGCGGUGAAUACGUUCUCGGGGUUUGUACACACCGCCCCUCA
Molecule: ribosomal RNA, 1246 nt
Filed under: 'Berberis vulgaris' flatten stem phytoplasma
Lineage: Bacteria; Bacillati; Mycoplasmatota; Mollicutes; Acholeplasmatales; Acholeplasmataceae
Description: bacterial SSU rRNA
Rfam family: Bacterial small subunit ribosomal RNA
Source: RNAcentral